GAGGGUUUUUGUAAUAAAACUUUUGUCUAAUUCGUUCGACGAUACCAAAAAGGGAAGACUCAGAUUUUUCGAUAGAAUCAAAUCAUCAAGGAGUAAUAACCCUUAGAACGAGCAUGAGAAGAAGAAGAAGAAGAAGAAGAAGAAGAAGAGAUGGGAGGCAAGGAGGGUGCGAUUGGGCGAUGCUUCAUCAAGUUUGCAAAUAGGAUCCAUCCACCAUCAAGCUAGCUAGUUAAGAAGUUUACAAGAGACACAACAAGCCAUAGAGAUAAAUUACAAAUACUGCUAAACUGGGUUGGAGAUUUGCAUCUUCUUAGCAAUCAACGCUUCCUUCUUCUUCUCCAGCUCCUGCCGCUUGGCAGACAAUUCCUGAAACCAUGAGUUGGAAGAUGCAUUAAGCUCAUAUAAAACCCAAAGCAAACCUCAAAUCUUGUUUCUAUAUUUAAUUUACCUCUCUCUCGGAAACAUACUUUUCUGGAUUGUAUGGGGAGUUAUAUGUAGCUGGGAAGAAAGAAAGAAGAAGAAAGUAUAUAAUUAAUUA
This is a long non-coding RNA of Camelina sativa (false flax), 538 nucleotides long. RefSeq lists it as uncharacterized. NCBI's taxonomy places the organism in Eukaryota, Viridiplantae, Streptophyta, Magnoliopsida, Brassicales, Brassicaceae. The record is from RefSeq and is a predicted model, not a curated record.